UAAUAAGUGUUUUAUGGCACUUCUUAAAUCCAUAUCCACCUUGUGUGCAAUGUCAGGUCGAUUCUUCUUUUAUUGAGAAGCGGACCAAACAUCAACCUUAUUUUUUAACUGUCUUGUCUGAAAAAUAUUAUGAAUAAACAAUUCAAAAUA
This 150-nucleotide unclassified non-coding RNA is filed under the name soil metagenome. Its description in RNAcentral is "partial internal transcribed spacer 1". The record is from RNAcentral.